Drosophila yakuba is the source of this 4542-nucleotide long non-coding RNA. RefSeq lists it as uncharacterized. Lineage: Eukaryota; Metazoa; Arthropoda; Insecta; Diptera; Drosophilidae. The record is from RefSeq and is a predicted model, not a curated record. The transcript is spliced from 2 exons.
CAGUUGGCUGUCGUCCUGCGGCAGCGGUGGUUGUGUGCGCUCGUCCCUUGGAUUCACCACCAGGACUCCCACACACUCAGCUCCUGUGCCUUGAAAAGUGUUUAGUGUGCAAAUAAUCAAACCAAGAAACAAAAAAAAACAAAAGAAAAGAUGAAAAAACUACAAAGGAAAAUGUAACCAUUAGAGAGAAGUGGUUAAAGUGACAAAACCUGAAACUGUCGAGGACAUUAUUGUGUGAGUGAGAUAAGGACUUGCCGAGACAGUGGCCCGAUGACUACGACAAUGGCUACGCCCAAGGCCUAGGCAAGUUGAACGCCCACACAAGCGCACUGAAACACACACACACACACACAUACAUGCACACACAAUCGCAGGACGAACAGGACGAGCAGGACACGCAGCCUGGCAAAUGGCUUGUUUUCGGUUCUUAAAUUGUUUUAUUUUUCCCCAGCCAUCCUCCUUUAUUAUUUAGCGCGGUUCGUCCUGUGCACAGUGUGGACAUUAUGUGGCCAGGACCUCCUGCCAUAUGUUUACUCAGUAUUUGUGUGGGCGCUUCGGCUCGACGGGGGCGCUCUUUAAAUUGAAAUAAAACAAGCCGAGCAAGCCGAGCAACCAACCAACCAACCAACGACAUCCCUUUAAGCUAAUGGAGAGCCUUAUCUGUGGUCGAUCCAUCGAUUCCAAAAAAGAUGAAAGCAUAUGUGGCUGCAUGAAGUGGUAAGUAUGAAAUUGAGGCGGGAAAGUUGAACAAGUUUGGGAUCCCCGACAUGUGAUUCGGAAUUUAAAUUCACUACUAAUUUUACAUUUUUAAUUUGCCUAAGAAAUCCAUAAUGCACGAUGUACAAUGGUAAUUUGAAAUUCCGAAUUUCACAAUGACAAGAUUAUCUACGGAAAAUCUUUAAGGCAGAAUCAUUCAAUUAAAAGGCCACGAAUGUCGAAAUACAAAAGACCUUAUUCCGGCAUUGUGUGCAAUUUUGUAGGGCAAUUGCACAUCACCUGUGCGAAUUAUUUCACAACAAUGAGGCUGACAAAACAAUUAACUUUUAAGGAGUCAUUAAUUAAGCCAAAAGUCCUGAACAAUGCAGAAUGCAACGGAGCAAUCGCUUACCAUCGCAUUCAAUUUGAUUUCUAUAUGCGAGUAUGCCAUCUUCAAUUUGGGGAACACAUGUCGUUGGCAUUUGCAAAUCAAAUCCCUUGGGCAUACAAUCAAAUCAGCCCUGAUGAUUGUGAUGGUGAUGGUGAUGAUGAUGAUGAUGAUGAUGGUGGCAAUGGCGAUGGCAAUGUUGGUGGUGCCAACAAAGAGGACGACAACUUCCUCCUUUCGGGAGACGCUUUAAGUUGCUUAAGAGGAAUCUUAUGCAGAGGGAUUUCGGUGGUUUCCGCAUGCAUUGAAUUGCAGAUUCUCGGGACUGUUUUAAAUGCAGCCCACGCAAACAGAAUCCCCGGGGCAACAACAAAAAGUACAAAAUGGAGAGAAAAUAAGACCAGGGGCUGAUAAGGUGGUGGAGCAGCUCAAAAGUCGGUGGCAAAAGUAUUCAGAAAGAAGUGCAGCUGCAAAAAAGUUUACAUUUCCAGAUGCCAUUUUACUUUACUUUGCCGUUCGGCUUACAUGGCCGUGCGAAAUGUACCUUCUUCCCCUUGGAGGUUUUUCUGGGUGGUGGUGAUGUGGGUGGUGGUGGUCUUUGGGCCGUGUCCUUGUGUAUUUUUGUGACUUUUGGCGCCGCCUGCAAAGACAACAUCGUCGGAGAGUUAAGCAACUUACUUAAGCGAGGGGAAAUGUCUGGGUAGAUGGGGUGUGGGAAAGCCGCUUUCAGGAAAUUGUUGCAUUUCGGUUUUGUAUGUUGCCGUUGCGAGCCGAAAUACACUUGACUUGACUUUUGCCCGCAAAACGCAACGCAGGCAACGGAAGGGGAGGGUGGGUGGAAAGCCGGAAAAACAGGAAAAACAAAGCAAAGAUGGUGGCAAAAAAUCGAGGGCAAAAUGUAACGAGACACAAAACCCCGCCCACUCACUUUCCACUCACUUUGUACGGGAAUAUAUAUGCGGAGCUGUGGCUGUUGCACGUAUUUGUUUUAAUAAAAGUUUUGCAGCAAAACUUAAUGAAAUGUUGGCAGGCCUCAGCCUCAGUCACAGCCACAGCCACAGUCUCAGUCUCAGUCAGCCAUCCUGCUACAAGGACCUCCAUUUCGGGCCUAGCUUGUUUCCCAGACAGGCCCAAGACAUGAACAUGUUCCGACUCCGACUGCUGCUUACUUAUGUGUGUGCAAAUGGGGAGUUAUGGGGAGGGACAGGUCCUUCCAGGACCUCAAAGGAUGUUGUUGAUAUUUACGCUCGAGGAAUUCGGUAGAAUGCCUUUCAAUUAAAACAAGUGUGCAAUAAUUUAAAUGUAUGCCUUGCGGUUAAAAAAGAGCCAAGCUGAGCUGAGCUGAGGGAGAGCUCUGCAAAUUACACGAUCCGUUGUCGAUAAUUGACAGUGCCCACGUCUUAAUGUCUAAGUGCCACUUUGCCAGCCCUGACAGUUUUUGUGGCUUACAGCACAUGCCACAAAAAAAAAGAGCAAAUCAACAUAUUCUCGUUUAUGUAGCUUCAAACGUAGGGCAAAAAACGCAUUACACAAACAUGACCAAAACCAAAGACAGCUUGUUAAUUGGAAAGUUUUAUGCAAUUAUAAAACUUUUUUCAUUAUUCCCUGGUGUUCUUUUCGUUUGUCCUGUUGAUAUUUUGUCGCUCCGAAAGCAUACAAUUCGGUCCAACCUGCAAAUGAGAGUAGAAGUACUGACAACCAAAGGUGGCCAAAACGAUCCGGUAGAAACUGUAACUGAGACGUACCCAACUCAUGUGUGACCAAAGUUAAAAUGAAAAUGCACAGCGGCAGGAAAGCAUGGCUACAUGGAUACAUGGCUAGAUGAGUGGAUGAAUGGGGAAAUGGGGAGAUGGGAUGAUGUCCUUGCACACAUACAGGAUGGAUGCUGGCGAGUCACAAAAACGGCAAAAUGUCACUGCCAGCAGGGCAGCGUGGCCAACAUGUCGCAUGAGUGUUUUGUGCUAACUGCAAACGCAAAAUUAAUUUCAUUUUGAAAAGUCCGCCCCCGUCCCCAAAGUGACAAUUGCAUGAGUUGGCAAAGUGUUUAGCAUGAAUUUCAUUGAAGGCCAGCGGCCAACAGCCAACAGCCAACGGCCAACGGCCAACAAUUUAAGCAACUUUAAGGGGGUGGUCCCCGAAAAGAGGAGGAAUCCCUCAUCCAGAGCUACCAGAGGACGGCCCAAAUGAAUAUGUAAGCGGUCCCACUUGGCCAUUUACGUGUACAAUUGAUGUGGUUUGAUUUCGUUAGGGGCAUUGCCAACUACAUAAACACAAUAACAAGCAGAAGGAAGGAGAAAGGAGGAGAAGGAGGAGUCGGCCCAUUCAAGUAGACAUCGCCCGACUAAAAGCCGUCCCAAAUGGCCUCCGGCGGAGUUUGCAGGCCAAGUAUCCAGUCAGCCAAAUGAAACGAAUGAAUAAAUGAGGCCAGAGGCCCAGGACAGUUCGAUUCGUAUUCCCUUCCCUUCUUUUUCCUUUACUUUCCUAUCCAUUUCGAUUCCGAUUCCUAUUGCUACUUCGCUGACAGUCAAUUCAACGGAGAGGAGCAUGUGCACAUAAUAGCUGCUAAGCAACUGCACUCGAGUGUCUUUGUAUGUGUAUGUACGUAGUUGUAUCUGCUUGGCUGCGUAUCUGUAUCUUUGUAUCUUUGUAUCCAUAUCCUUGAGCUCGCCGCCGGUGCCAUGUCCCAGUUGGCAUGUCAGCUACUCGUUGGGCCGCGUUCUCCAUUUAAAUGGUUUUGAAAUUGAUUUCAUUUGAUCGCAAAUUAUAAUAUUUUACUCACGACAAGUGGUAUGUCCUAUAUGCGAACACUGAAAAAAUGCCAUAGUAGUUGUACAUCUUGUAUUUAUUUUUAUAUAUGCUAUGCAAGCUAUGAAAUAUCAAAAUUAGAGUUCCAAACUAAAAAAAAACAGUUGCUAUGUAAGUAGGCAAGUUAAUGUUGUAUUUUAAUAUUGAUAUAACACUAUUUUCCUUAGUGUAAAAUCAAUCUGGAAUACAAGUAUCUCGGGCACAAUUCAUGCUUAUUAGUAUCUGUUUGGCUGAAAGUCGAACCCAAAACUUGAUGGAUUCGCUCGAUGGGUCGUGAUUGUUGUUUGCAUGUUUAUUAUUAUGGGCCAGUCGAGAAGACCAGCCGGAAGUCUCGAAUGGAACACAAAAUGCCGUCCAAUCGGGAGCCAUAACGGAGACCCAAGAGUGCGUAACGGAAGUGCCUCGUCCAAAGGAUGCGAAGGAUGCAAAGGAUGUGGAGGAUGCGGAGGAUGUGGAGGAUGCCCUUUGUGUUUGCAGUCGGGCAAAUAUAAUAAAUAACUUUUUGCUACUUUUCGUAUUUGGUCAAUGCUCGACAUGGGUCCUGUUUCUCCGCUUUAAACUUUGUCUCUCUAAUGGCUUUUCGAUUGCCUCUCGGCUACUUUUCUGCACUCAUCCGAUUCCGAACGGAAAAUCAAUACAUUAUAUAUACUAUA